This 253-nucleotide ribosomal RNA is filed under the name uncultured prokaryote. RNAcentral describes it as "partial 16S ribosomal RNA". It matches the Rfam family "Bacterial small subunit ribosomal RNA", at positions 524 to 776 of the family's 1533-position model. The record is from RNAcentral.
UACGGAGGGUGCAAGCGUUAUCCGGAAUCAUUGGGUUUAAAGGGUCCGCAGGCGGACAUAUAAGUCAGUGGUGAAAGCCUACAGCUUAACUGUAGAACUGCCAUUGAUACUGUAUGUCUUGAAUUCGGUCGAAGUGGGCGGAAUAUGACAUGUAGCGGUGAAAUGCUUAGAUAUGUCAUAGAACACCGAUAGCGAAGGCAGCUCACUAGGCCUGGAUUGACGCUCAUGGACGAAAGCGUGGGGAGCAAACAGG